CUAACGUCAAUGCGUAGGAAUACAUAAUAAUCCAUAGUCAGCUGAUAGUGUUCAGAGAAAAACAACGUCGCACACUCGCUUCGCUUCGAAAGUUUGAACUUUUGUCAACAAAGUCAACAACGUAAAAGGAUAUAACAAACACUGAAUAUGAACGUGAAAAGACAACAAGCUUGUCAGAAAAUGUUGAUUCUGAAGGCGGUUGGACACAGAUUGCAUCGCAAAUCCACCCUGCAUUGGUGCCGAGUCCGGAUUUCGAUCAGCUGUUGUGACUGUGCUGCUGGCGGUGUUACUGUUUGACAGAAUGCGAGAUAUUCCCUUCUGCUUUUCAGUAUUCAUACUUGACUGUCAUCUCACCAGAUAUCUGAAUGAUGUCAUUGGGAGAAACGCCGCUGUCUGUUAACUUCUUGACCAGGUGUUUCCUCAAAUUUAUUUCACAAUACCAUUUAUAUUUUCACUAAAUAUCUAUAUAUUUCAUACUUAUGUAUAUAAUAAAAAAUAUUU
This is a long non-coding RNA of Haliotis rufescens (red abalone), 501 nucleotides long. RefSeq lists it as uncharacterized. NCBI's taxonomy places the organism in Eukaryota, Metazoa, Mollusca, Gastropoda, Lepetellida, Haliotidae. The record is from RefSeq and is a predicted model, not a curated record. The transcript is spliced from 3 exons.